Molecule: ribosomal RNA, 253 nt
Filed under: uncultured bacterium
Lineage: Bacteria
Description: partial 16S ribosomal RNA
Rfam family: Bacterial small subunit ribosomal RNA
Source: RNAcentral
UACGUAGGGACCGAGCGUUGUCCGGAUUCGUUGGGCGUAAAGAGCUCGUAGGCGGCCACUCAAGUCGGAUGUGAAACCUCGAGGCUUAACCUCGAGCCUGCAUUCGAUACGGGCAGGCUAGAGUUCGGUAGGGGAGAUCGGAAUUCCUGGUGUAGCGGUGAAAUGCGCAGAUAUCAGGAGGAACACCGGUGGCGAAGGCGGAUCUCUGGGCCGAUACUGACGCUGAGGAGCGAAAGCGUGGGGAGCGAACAGG